This 392-nucleotide ribosomal RNA is filed under the name uncultured Anaerolineaceae bacterium. Its description in RNAcentral is "bacterial SSU rRNA". It matches the Rfam family "Bacterial small subunit ribosomal RNA", at positions 974 to 1382 of the family's 1533-position model. Lineage: Bacteria; Bacillati; Chloroflexota; Anaerolineae; Anaerolineales; Anaerolineaceae. The record is from RNAcentral.
CCUGGGUUUGACAUAUAGGUUGUAGGGAACUGAAAGGGACGACCCUUCGGGAGCCUAUACAGGUGUUGCAUGGCUGUCGUCAGCUCGUGUCGUGAGAUGUUCGGUUAAGUCCGCUAACGAGCGCAACCCUCGUCGUAUGUUAUAUGUGUCAUACGAGACUGCCGGUAAAAAGCCGGAGGAAGGUGAGGAUGAUGUCAAGUCAGCAUGACCUUUAUAUCCAGGGCUACACACACGCUACAAUGGUCUGUACAAUGGGUAGCCAAGCCGCGAGGCGGAGCCAAUCCUGAAAGCAGGCCUCAGUUCAGAUUGCAGUCUGCAACUCGACUGCAUGAAGCCGGAGUUGCUAGUAACCGCAGGUCAGCAAUACUGCGGUGAAUACGUUCCCGGGUCUU